UAAAUUUAUUGACAUUAAGAUUGGAGGGUA
This 30-nucleotide non-coding RNA is filed under the name Rattus norvegicus (Norway rat). The record is from RNAcentral. Lineage: Eukaryota; Metazoa; Chordata; Mammalia; Rodentia; Muridae.